GAUGAACGCCGGCGGUGCGCCUAAUACAUGCAAGUCGAACGCGUUGGCCCAAUUGAUUGAUGGUGCUUGCACCUGAUUGAUUUUGGUCGCCAACGAGUGGCGGACGGGUGAGUAACACGUAGGUAACCUGCCCAGAAGCGGGGGACAACAUUUGGAAACAGAUGCUAAUACCGCAUAACAGCGUUGUUCGCAUGAACAACGCUUAAAAGAUGGCUUCUCGCUAUCACUUCUGGAUGGACCUGCGGUGCAUUAGCUUGUUGGUGGGGUAACGGCCUACCAAGGCGAUGAUGCAUAGCCGAGUUGAGAGACUGAUCGGCCACAAUGGGACUGAGACACGGCCCAUACUCCUACGGGAGGCAGCAGUAGGGAAUCUUCCACAAUGGGCGCAAGCCUGAUGGAGCAACACCGCGUGAGUGAAGAAGGGUUUCGGCUCGUAAAGCUCUGUUGUUAAAGAAGAACACGUAUGAGAGUAACUGUUCAUACGUUGACGGUAUUUAACCAGAAAGUCACGGCUAACUACGUGCCAGCAGCCGCGGUAAUACGUAGGUGGCAAGCGUUAUCCGGAUUUAUUGGGCGUAAAGAGAGUGCAGGCGGUUUUCUAAGUCUGAUGUGAAAGCCUUCGGCUUAACCGGAGAAGUGCAUCGGAAACUGGAUAACUUGAGUGCAGAAGAGGGUAGUGGAACUCCAUGUGUAGCGGUGGAAUGCGUAGAUAUAUGGAAGAACACCAGUGGCGAACGCGGCUACCUGGUCUGCAACUGACGCUGAGACUCGAAAGCAUGGGUAGCGAACAGGAUUAGAUACCCUGGUAGUCCAUGCCGUAAACGAUGAGUGCUAGGUGUUGGAGGGUUUCCGCCCUUCAGUGCCGGAGCUAACGCAUUAAGCACUCCGCCUGGGGAGUACGACCGCAAGGUUGAAACUCAAAGGAAUUGACGGGGGCCCGCACAAGCGGUGGAGCAUGUGGUUUAAUUCGAAGCUACGCGAAGAACCUUACCAGGUCUUGACAUCUUGCGCCAACCCUAGAGAUAGGGCGUUUCCUUCGGGAACGCAAUGACAGGUGGUGCAUGGUCGUCGUCAGCUCGUGUCGUGAGAUGUUGGGUUAAGUCCCGCAACGAGCGCAACCCUUGUUACUAGUUGCCAGCAUUAAGUUGGGCACUCUAGUGAGACUGCCGGUGACAAACCGGAGGAAGGUGGGGACGACGUCAGAUCAUCAUGCCCCUUAUGACCUGGGCUACACACGUGCUACAAUGGACGGUACAACGAGUCGCGAACUCGCGAGGGCAAGCAAAUCUCUUAAAACCGUUCUCAGUUCGGACUGCAGGCUGCAACUCGCCUGCACGAAGUCGGAAUCGCUAGUAACCGCGGAUCAGCAUGCCGCGGUGAAUACGUUCCCGGGCCUUGUACACACCGCCCGUCACACCAUGAGAGUUUGUAACACCCAAAGUCGGUGGGGUAACCUUUUAGGAGCCAGCCGCCUAAGGUGGGACAGAUGAUUAGGGUG
RNAcentral lists this ribosomal RNA (1498 nucleotides) under Limosilactobacillus fermentum. RNAcentral describes it as "bacterial SSU rRNA". It matches the Rfam family "Bacterial small subunit ribosomal RNA". Lineage: Bacteria; Bacillati; Bacillota; Bacilli; Lactobacillales; Lactobacillaceae. The record is from RNAcentral.